This 1142-nucleotide ribosomal RNA is filed under the name seawater metagenome. Its description in RNAcentral is "bacterial LSU rRNA". It matches the Rfam family "Bacterial large subunit ribosomal RNA", at positions 1341 to 2467 of the family's 2925-position model. The record is from RNAcentral.
AAGACCAAGGUUUCCUGCGCAACGCUAAUCGGCGCAGGGUGAGUCGGCCCCUAAGGCGAGGCAGAAAUGCGUAGCUGAUGGGAAACAGGUUAAUAUUCCUGUACUUCUUAUAACUGCGAUGGAGAGACGGAGAAGGCUAUGCCUACCGGGCGUUGGUUGUCCCGGGGAAAGGCUGUAGGCUGAGGUGUUAGGCAAAUCCGGCACCUUAAGGCUGAGAGUCGAGACCACUGGUCCUUUGUGACCGGGAAGUGGUUGAUGCCAUGCUUCCAGGAAAAUCUUCUAAGCUUCAGGUUAUAAGGAACCGUACCCCAAACCGACACAGGUGGUUGGGAUGAGUAUUCUAAGGCGCUUGAGAGAACUCGGGUGAAGGAACUAGGCAAAGUGGUACCGUAACUUCGGGAGAAGGUACGCCGCUGACGGUGAUGAGACUUGCUCUCUGAGCUAUCGGCGGUCGCAGUGAAAAGGCCCCUGCAACUGUUUAUUAAAAACACAGCACUCUGCAAACGCGUAAGCGGACGUAUAGGGUGUGACGCCUGCCCGGUGCCGGAAGGUUAAUUGAUGGGGUUAGCUUCGGCGAAGCUCUUGAUCGAAGCCCCGGUAAACGGCGGCCGUAACUAUAACGGUCCUAAGGUAGCGAAAUUCCUUGUCGGGUAAGUUCCGACCUGCACGAAUGGCGUAAUGAUGGGGGCGCUGUCUCCACCCGAGACUCAGUGAAAUCGAAAUCGCAGUGAAGAUGCUGUGUACCCGCGGCUAGACGGAAAGACCCCGUGAACCUUUACUAUAGCUUCACAGUGGACUUUGAACCUGUUUGUGUAGGAUAGCUGGGAGACUUUGAAGCAGUGACGCUAGUCAUUGUGGAGUCGUCCUUGAAAUACCAGCCUGGCAUGUUUGAGGUUCUAACCUGGGUCCCUUAUCGGGAUCGGGGACAUUGUGUGGUGGGUAGUUUGACUGGGGCGGUCUCCUCCCAAAGAGUAACGGAGGAGCACAAAGGUACCCUCAGCACGGUCGGACAUCGUGCAACGAGCGUAAAGGUAGAAGGGUGCUUGACUGCGAGACUUACAAGUCGAGCAGGUGCGAAAGCAGGUCUUAGUGAUCCGGUGGUUCUGUAUGGAAGGGCCAUCGCUCAACGGAUAAAAGGUACU